UACGUAGGGGGCAAGCGUUGUCCGGAUUUAUUGGGCGUAAAGAGCGUGUAGGCGGCCAGGUAGGUCUGCUCUGAAAACUCGAGGCUUAACCUCGAGCUGUCGGCGGAAACCAUCUGGCUAGAGUCCGGAAGAGGAGAAUGGAAUUCCCGGUGUAGCGGUGAAAUGCGCAGAUAUCGGGAAGAACACCCGUGGCGAAGGCGGUUCUCUGGGACGGUACUGACGCUGAGACGCGAAAGCGUGGGGAGCGAACAGG
This 253-nucleotide ribosomal RNA is filed under the name uncultured bacterium. RNAcentral's name for it is "partial 16S ribosomal RNA". It matches the Rfam family "Bacterial small subunit ribosomal RNA", at positions 524 to 776 of the family's 1533-position model. The record is from RNAcentral.